RNAcentral lists this ribosomal RNA (537 nucleotides) under Triticum aestivum (bread wheat). RNAcentral's name for it is "partial small subunit ribosomal RNA". The record is from RNAcentral. Lineage: Eukaryota; Viridiplantae; Streptophyta; Magnoliopsida; Poales; Poaceae.
AUGUACAUGCACGCCAUGGAGUUGGUGCGGAUGGGUGAUGCAAGUGUAAAAGCAUAUGAGAAAUUCAUGUGCCUCAUUAAGAAUUGCAUGGUGGAGAUGCAGCCCUUUGCAGAGAUUAGAGAUGGGUUAGAAUUGGAGGACAUGAUUGUUGAGCAUGGAGAUGUAGUCAACCAACAAGCACCACAAGUGGCAAUGGUUGCUGCAAGUGGUGGGGCAGGCAUGGGCACUGUCAACGAUGAUGCUACUUCUGCAAAUGAGAGUGGGAACAGACUGAGCGGUCAGUUGGCACCAAAGAAGCGCAAAGAAAUGGGGCGGCCAUCAACUAGCAGGGAGAAGGCAUCAUACGAGGGGUUGAGCAAACGACCCCGGUUUUGCACCAUAUGUCGCGGGCAAGGGGACAAGAGAACGACCUGCCCUGACCGAGGUGAUGCCCCGGAACCUGUUCGCAAACCGUCUAGGUGCAAAUACUGUGGAAUUGAAGGUCACAGGCGAAACAACUGCCACAAAGUAGGUGAUCUCAGGUUGGCUGGCAUGUGA